GGGGAUGUAAAGGUUUCGACGGGGGUUUUGAACCUUGGUAAGCGAGUAGCGGUGUGGAACCGCUUUAAAAUCCACAAUUUUAAAUUUAAACGGCAAAACUAAUAAAGUUGCUAUGGCAGCGUAAUUAUCGCUGUCUGUCCUGUUUAAGAGCACCACGGCUUAAAUAAGGGCAUCGAUUUAGUGGUAAAUGUGAAUCGAGGGAUGUUCCGACCUUGGUCACACAUAAGGAACUACUAAGGCGCAGAGCCUGUUAUUGGGCGAUACGCUAAGGGAAUGUAAACCAAUAACUACACUCGUAGAAAACCAAGGGAAUUAAUUCUCGGACGGGGGUCCGAUUCCCCCCAUCUCCACCA
RNAcentral lists this transfer-messenger RNA (353 nucleotides) under Acutalibacteraceae. Its description in RNAcentral is "Ruminococcus_E sp902797225 Standard tmRNA". It matches the Rfam family "transfer-messenger RNA". Rfam says of the family: Bacterial tmRNA, also known as 10Sa RNA or SsrA, is named for its dual tRNA and mRNA-like properties. Its role is to liberate the mRNA from a stalled ribosome. Lineage: Bacteria; Bacillati; Bacillota; Clostridia; Eubacteriales. The record is from RNAcentral. RNAcentral also lists the same sequence under 1 other name.